RNAcentral lists this ribosomal RNA (301 nucleotides) under uncultured bacterium. RNAcentral describes it as "partial 16S ribosomal RNA". It matches the Rfam family "Bacterial small subunit ribosomal RNA", at positions 509 to 807 of the family's 1533-position model. The record is from RNAcentral.
CAGUAGCCGCGGUAAUACGAAGGGUGCAAGCGUUACUCGGAAUUACUGGGCGUAAAGCGUGCGUAGGUGGUGGUUUAAGUCCGUUGUGAAAGCCCUGGGCUCAACCUGGGAAUUGCAGUGGAUACUGGGUCACUAGAGUGUGGUAGAGGAUAGUGGAAUUUCCGGUGUAGCAGUGAAAUGCGUAGAGAUCGGAAGGAACAUCUGUGGCGAAGGCGACUAUCUGGGCCAACACUGACACUGAGGCACGAAAGCGUGGGGAGCAAACAGGAUUAGAUACCCGCGUAGUCCUUGUCUCUUAUAC